Molecule: ribosomal RNA, 746 nt
Filed under: Salmonella enterica
Lineage: Bacteria; Pseudomonadati; Pseudomonadota; Gammaproteobacteria; Enterobacterales; Enterobacteriaceae
Description: partial 23S ribosomal RNA
Rfam family: Bacterial large subunit ribosomal RNA
Source: RNAcentral
GGUUAAGCGACUAAGCGUACACGGUGGAUGCCCUGGCAGUCAGAGGCGAUGAAGGACGUGCUAAUCUGCGAUAAGCGCCGGUAAGGUGAUAUGAACCGUUAUAACCGGCGAUUUCCGAAUGGGGAAACCCAGUGUGACUCGUCACACUAUCAUUAACUGAAUCCAUAGGUUAAUGAGGCGAACCGGGGGAACUGAAACAUCUAAGUACCCCGAGGAAAAGAAAUCAACCGAGAUUCCCCCAGUAGCGGCGAGCGAACGGGGAGGAGCCCAGAGCCUGAAUCAGCAUGUGUGUUAGUGGAAGCGUCUGGAAAGGCGCGCGAUACAGGGUGACAGCCCCGUACACAAAAGCGCAUAUGCUGUGAGCUCGAUGAGUAGGGCGGGACACGUGGUAUCCUGUCUGAAUAUGGGGGGACCAUCCUCCAAGGCUAAAUACUCCUGACUGACCGAUAGUGAACCAGUACCGUGAGGGAAAGGCGAAAAGAACCCCGGCGAGGGGAGUGAAAAAGAACCUGAAACCGUGUACGUACAAGCAGUGGGAGCCCCACCACUAAGCCAGUGGUGAACUCCACAUACGCAUCCUUUGCUGAGGAUACGGUUAACGGAGCGAAAGCGACGUUCAACCGCAAAAGAAGCAGAGGGGGCUUAGUGGUGGGGUGACUGCGUACCUUUUGUAUAAUGGGUCAGCGACUUAUAUUCUGUAGCAAGGUUAACCGAAUAGGGGAGCCGGAGGGAAACCGAGUCUUAAU